UACGUAGGGUGCAAGCGUUAAUCGGAAUUACUGGGCGUAAAGCGUGCGCAGGCGGUUCGGAAAGAAAGGUGUGAAAUCCCAGGGCUUAACCUUGGAAUGGCACUUUUAACUCCCGAGCUAGAGUAUGUCAGAGGGGGGUAGAAUUCCACGUGUAGCAGUGAAAUGCGUAGAGAUGUGGAGGAAUACCGAUGGCGAAGGCAGCCCCCUGGGAUAAUACUGACGCUCAGGCACGAAAGCGUGGGGAGCAAACAGG
RNAcentral lists this ribosomal RNA (253 nucleotides) under uncultured bacterium. RNAcentral's name for it is "partial 16S ribosomal RNA". It matches the Rfam family "Bacterial small subunit ribosomal RNA", at positions 524 to 776 of the family's 1533-position model. The record is from RNAcentral.